This is a non-coding RNA of Phthorimaea operculella (potato tuberworm), 71 nucleotides long. Lineage: Eukaryota; Metazoa; Arthropoda; Insecta; Lepidoptera; Gelechiidae. The record is from the annotation of a GenBank genome assembly.
GUCCCGAUGGUGUAGUGGAUACUACCCCUGUCCACUAUGCAGAGGGUUGUGGGUUUGAUUCCCACUGGACA